GAACCCGUUGGUGGGCGGCCUGACCACGGCAGCGCUGCUGAUGCUGUUCUGGCCGCUGAUAUCCAAGGCUCUGCAAACCCUGACGGGCCUGC
Molecule: transfer RNA, 92 nt
Filed under: Pseudomonas fluorescens
Lineage: Bacteria; Pseudomonadati; Pseudomonadota; Gammaproteobacteria; Pseudomonadales; Pseudomonadaceae
Also listed under: 1 other name
Description: tRNA-Ser
Source: RNAcentral